GACGAACGCUGGCGGCGUGCCUAAUACAUGCAAGUAGAACGCUGAAGGAGGAGCUUGCUUCUCUGGAUGAGUUGCGAACGGGUGAGUAACGCGUAGGUAACCUGCCUUGUAGCGGGGGAUAACUAUUGGAAACGAUAGCUAAUACCGCAUAAUAGCAGUUAUUGCAUGAUAACUGUUUGAAAGUUGCAAUUUCACCACUACCAGAUGGACCUGCGUUGUAUUAGCUAGUUGGUGGGGUAACGGCUCACCAAGGCGACGAUACAUAGCCGACCUGAGAGGGGGAUCGGCCACAAUGGGACUGAGACACGGCCCAGACUCCUACGGGAAGGAGCAGUAGGGAAUCUUCGGCAAUGGACGGAAGUCUGACCGAGCAACGCCGCGUGAGUGAAGAAGGUUUUCGGAUCGUAAAGCUCUGUUGUAAGAGAAGAACGAGUGUGAGAGUGGAAAGUUCACACUGUGACGGUAUCUUACCAGAAAGGGACGGCUAACUACGUG
This 495-nucleotide ribosomal RNA is filed under the name uncultured bacterium. RNAcentral's name for it is "partial 16S ribosomal RNA". It matches the Rfam family "Bacterial small subunit ribosomal RNA", at positions 28 to 507 of the family's 1533-position model. The record is from RNAcentral.